RNAcentral lists this ribosomal RNA (275 nucleotides) under uncultured bacterium. RNAcentral describes it as "partial 16S ribosomal RNA". It matches the Rfam family "Bacterial small subunit ribosomal RNA", at positions 338 to 604 of the family's 1533-position model. The record is from RNAcentral.
CCUACGGGUGGCUGCAGUGGGGAAUCUUGCGCAAUGGACGAAAGUCUGACGCAGCGACGCCGCGUGGGUGAAGAAGGCCUUCGGGUUGUAAAGCCCUGUCGAAAGGGAAAAACGGCAUAUGCAAUAAUACGGCAUAUGCGUGAUGGUACCUUUAGAGGAAGCACCGGCUAACUCCGUGCCAGCAGCCGCGGUAAUACGGAGGGUGCAAGCGUUGUUCGGAAUUAUUGGGCGUAAAGGGCAAGUAGGUGGUCUCGUAAGUCUACUGUGAAAUCCCU